This 497-nucleotide ribosomal RNA is filed under the name uncultured bacterium. Its description in RNAcentral is "partial 16S ribosomal RNA". It matches the Rfam family "Bacterial small subunit ribosomal RNA", at positions 28 to 507 of the family's 1533-position model. The record is from RNAcentral.
GAUGAACGCUGGCGGCGUGCCUAAUACAUGCAAGUCGAGCGAACGGACGAGAAGCUUGCUUUUCUGAUGUUAGCGGCGGACGGGUGAGUACCACGUGGAUACCCUACCUAUAAGACUGGGAUAACUUCGGGAAACCGGAGCUAAUACCGGAUAAUAUUUUGAACCGCAUGGUUCAAAAGUGAUCACGCUUCUUGCUGUCACUAAUAGAUGUAUCCGCGCUGCAUUAGCUAGUUGGUAAGGUAAAGGCUUACCAAGGCUACGAUGCGUAGCCGACCUGAGAGGGUGAUCGGCCACACUGGAACUGAGACACGGUCCAGACUCCUACGGGAGGCAGCAGUAGGGAAUCUUGCGCAAUGGGCGAAAGCCUGACGGAGCAACGCCGCGUGAGUGAUGAAGGUCUUCGGAUCGUAAAGCUCUGUUAUUAGGGAAGAACAUAUGUGUAAGUAACUGUGCACAUCUUGACGGUACCUAAUCAGAAAGCCACGGCUAACUACGUG